This 2246-nucleotide long non-coding RNA is filed under the name Lactuca sativa (garden lettuce). RNAcentral describes it as "long non-coding RNA (LSAT_LNC005283)". The record is from RNAcentral. Lineage: Eukaryota; Viridiplantae; Streptophyta; Magnoliopsida; Asterales; Asteraceae.
GGAGUAGGAGACUUCGUCUGUCUCGUCGACCGGAGACCAGAGGCGGAGGUGUCGUUGGCCAGAGGCGGAGGCGUCGUCGGCCGAAGGCUAAGGUUUCGUAUAAACAACUCUAAGUAAUAGGGCUGGAGAAUUUUAUUCAUCGUUGAAGAAAGUCAAAAUCUCUAUUUCUUACGUACCUGCGAACAUCCGUCUAAGUUUUAAAAUAAACGUAAUGAACAACUUUUUAAUUUUUUNAGUAUUUUUACUCAUAACAAUCUCCUAUUGAAUUUAAUUGCCUCAUGGUAUUUUCUUCCCUUGUACUCGACAUGGAAUAUAUCAAAGCAUUAGUAUAGUAACAUGACUUGGAUAAGAUUAAAUACGAAAUUUUAGUGUUUUUUUUCUAACUGCUGUGAUUUCUUUUCUUCAUUCAACAAACUGCUUUUUUUUAUCUGAAAACCGAUAACAAACCUAAAAUAAUAAAAAAUAAAAAUAAAAAUAAAAAAAAGUCACUUGUGUUACCCCACAAUUCUUCUUACAUGAAACAAAUCAUAAAAAAUAAAAAUUAGGAUGAAAAUACAAAAAAGGAUAAAAUACAGAAAAUAGUCAAGUGACUGAACAAGAACUGCUACAAUUAUUAUUAUUAAAAAUUGAGGGGUAAUAUUGACCUUUUGGCACAGUUAGUCUACAAAACUGCAGCUUUCUAAAGGAUGAGGGUAAAAUGGGAAUUCGAUUAUUGCUUGAACUGGUUACCUAAACCUUGGGUAAUUCCUAAGCUCUGUCCAAGAUCGCCCAUUCGUGCUUUCAUGGCCUAUAAAGGGGCAAAAUGGUCAAAUUAAAAAUAUAUUACCCCAAGGGUAAAACUGUACUUUUAUAUCAUCAUACAAACUUGGACACUUUUUUGAUGCACAUCUCUAUAUGCUUCUGUUAUGUACCUCUCUUUUGUUAUGUACCUCUCUUUUCUUUUUUAUGAGAGGAAUUGAAUAGUCAUUCCAUUCGCCUAUCAAUUCCAUUCCUUUGUGAAUAAUGGUUUUGUGAAUAAUCAGUCAUUUUGUGUUUCUGGACAAUGCAAAUGGAUUCCACUCAGCAGUGUUAAUUUUAAUUUUCUAGUCAUUUGAUUUUCAAGUUUUUACAUUUACAAUAUAAGCUUUUUAUACUUUAGACAUUCAAUUGUUUAAUUAUUUAAGUCACCAAUCAUAAAUAAAAAAUAAAUAAAUAAAUAAAAUAAAUAAAAAACAUCCGACUUUCCAUUUGUUGACUUUUUGACCGACUUUGACAGAGCCCAAUAUCAAAAUGAAGACCGAAGAGGAAUAUGUUGAAAUUUCUAUAGCCCUUGCUUGUUGUUUCUUUAUGUAUAGAUAACAACAUCUAACAGAAACAAAUAAUACAACACAUAUAAUAAGCAAAGCAAUUAACACAUCUAUCUAACAACUACAAAGCCAAUUACUGUUUGAGAAAAGAAUUGUUAUCCCAACAGUUUGUGAUGCUUAACUACUCCAUGACUCAAAAUUCUAUCAAUAAUUACUAUAAGAAUUUUUUGAGACUGCUGAUCAGGAAUCCUCAGAGGAAUAUAUGCCAAAAUGACCAUAUUGUCCUUUUUAAUUCUCUAAUCCUUCUUUGAUGUACCUGAAAGAAAGUGAGCAAACCAAAAUGAAUGAAANAAGUGAGCAAACCAAACCAUGAAUGAAAGGGCAUUUUGGUCAUUUGAUCAACACUCAACUCAAGACAUUUUUAAUGAAUCCAUUAGUGGCAUCACACUAGGAAAACUUUGCAUCUCCAUCAAAGCCAAAACGCUUCCUUGUCCUUCGUGAACAGUUGUAGUUCCUUUGUAUUUGUAUUUCUGCUCUUGUUUUUCUGUUGCGAAAACAGAAAUCAAAUCUCUUACCUUUAAAUUUGAACCGCUACCUGUGUUUGUCUAUUGCAAAAACAGAAAUCAAAGCUCUUACCCUUUAAAUUUGAACCGCAGGUCCAGUGGUGGGAUUUUCAGGUUGGUUGAAUUAUUGGAGGUGCCAGGCGAGGCGAGGUUGGCCGAUGAUGAUGAUGUUGCGACAGGGGAGAUGGAGAUGAAGGACCGAUUAGUGUGGGAGGAGGAAGUUAAGUAUGUGAGGAGGAGGAGGCGUAUUCAAUUUAGGUAUUAGUCGUACUUAAUCAAAAUGGGGGCGUAUUUUUAGUUAUUUGAUUUUGUUUCUAGUAAAUCUCAUUAACCAUAUUAAAUGCUGCAGUUAACCGUAUUAGAUGCUGCAAUUGUAUGUAUUAUAUUUAUUUAUCCC